Molecule: long non-coding RNA, 352 nt
Filed under: Cyanistes caeruleus (blue tit)
Lineage: Eukaryota; Metazoa; Chordata; Aves; Passeriformes; Paridae
Description: lncRNA (ENSCCEG00000012437.1)
Source: RNAcentral
GUUGGCUGUGGAUUGUUUCCUCUAGGUGUGGAGGUAGAAGAAGAGCAUGCAGCCCUGCUUACUUUGAAUUUUUUUUUGCCAAACUAAAAGAAGAAAAUCUCUGAAGAAGCUGAAGUGAGAUGCUCUCUAGUUUUUGAAAGUCAACCAGUGACUGCUCGUGGAGGUUGGAAGGGACCUUGGAGGGAGUCCGGUCCAACCCCCUGCUCGGAGCGGGGCUAAGGGACAGCGCGUUGCUCGGAGGGGCUGCCGGGACCCAGGGUGACCCAGGGGUGCACGAGCAGGCUCGCCUGUGCAGCUUAUUUCAAGAUCUUUGUGGGGGGAGGGAAAGGAGAACAUCGUCUACACGUUUGGA